Molecule: long non-coding RNA, 227 nt
Filed under: Elaeis guineensis (African oil palm)
Lineage: Eukaryota; Viridiplantae; Streptophyta; Magnoliopsida; Arecales; Arecaceae
Description: long non-coding RNA (EGUI_LNC039573)
Source: RNAcentral
GGUGACUCUUUGACACACUAUCAUUUUGAUCCAAUCAUGAUGAUUGAUCCACAUGAAACAACACUAGGCCAUUCAAUGUGAGACAGAUGGCAGACUCUAACUAACCAAGCCAUAACCACCUAUUUCCAACAUUCAAAAUUGAAAUAAUGACCCACCUCGAGUUGCCCAUUCCUCAUAAAUGCACUGGGAUCCAUGAAGUACUAAAUCUCUCCAAAUAAUUAAGGUGU